RNAcentral lists this long non-coding RNA (603 nucleotides) under Nicotiana benthamiana. RNAcentral's name for it is "long non-coding RNA (NBEN_LNC003814)". The record is from RNAcentral. Lineage: Eukaryota; Viridiplantae; Streptophyta; Magnoliopsida; Solanales; Solanaceae.
UUUCCAAUCGACCCUCGGUGAAGGGAAGGGAUAAAAGAGUAAUAAUAAUAAGGUAAAAGUAAAAAGAAAAUGAGCUGAAAAAGAGGACUACCUUUGGUAUAAAUUGAGGUCAUUUGGCAUCAAUUGGAGAAUUCAGGAGUGUUAGAAAAAAUUAGUCUGGCUUUUGGAAAUCCUUAAAAGAGAGAAAUUGAGAGAUAUACAUUGAGGCUGGAAUUCUAAGAGUUAAUUCCAGAAGUAAAAUACAGAGUGUUAGGUUGACUGUUAUUGGUAAAAAGCUUCAAAUAGAGUGACUUUAAGCUGAGUUUUUACUUAAAAGUUUCAGUUGGUUUUCUUUGAGUGUUGGCAAACACUAUUUUCUUGCAUCUGUCUCACUCUAAAUUUAACCGUGAGUGCAUUCGUGAGUAUUAUUGGAUUUGUGGUGUGUAAGUUCUUGGUUUUCUGUUAGUAUUUAGCUUCUGGUACUCAUUUGGGUGUUGUUGAGUUGCUGUUUGGUAUCCAAGUAGUGUUACAUUGAUCCCUUGGGUUUCCUCCUGUUUAAUUUGCAAUCUUUUCUGGGAUUCUUGCUAUUGGUUCUACUGGUUUUGCUGAAACUGUUUGUUGCUG